GUCUAGCUGACGAAUCUGAAAUAGGACGAAAUGUGCAUCCUGUAU
This 45-nucleotide non-coding RNA is filed under the name Schistosoma margrebowiei. Lineage: Eukaryota; Metazoa; Platyhelminthes; Trematoda; Strigeidida; Schistosomatidae. The record is from RNAcentral.